Molecule: ribosomal RNA, 856 nt
Filed under: Stenotrophomonas maltophilia
Lineage: Bacteria; Pseudomonadati; Pseudomonadota; Gammaproteobacteria; Lysobacterales; Lysobacteraceae
Description: bacterial LSU rRNA
Rfam family: Bacterial large subunit ribosomal RNA
Source: RNAcentral
GGAAAGACCCCGUGAACCUUUACUAUAGCUUUACACUGAACGUUGAGUUCGUCUGUGUAGGAUAGGUGGGAGGCUAUGAAACCAUGGCGCUAGCUGUGGUGGAGCCAUCCUUGAAAUACCACCCUGUCGUGCUUGACGUUCUAACCUGGGCCCAUUAUCUGGGUCGGGGACCGUGUAUGGUGGGUAGUUUGACUGGGGCGGUCUCCUCCUAAAGAGUAACGGAGGAGCUCGAAGGUACGCUCAGCGCGGUCGGACAUCGCGCACUGUGUGCAAAGGCAUAAGCGUGCUUGACUGCAAGAUCGACGGAUCAAGCAGGUAGGAAACUAGGACUUAGUGAUCCGGUGGUUCUGUAUGGAAGGGCCAUCGCUCAACGGAUAAAAGGUACUCCGGGGAUAACAGGCUGAUACCGCCCAAGAGUUCAUAUCGACGGCGGUGUUUGGCACCUCGAUGUCGGCUCAUCACAUCCUGGGGCUGUAGUCGGUCCCAAGGGUAUGGCUGUUCGCCAUUUAAAGUGGUACGCGAGCUGGGUUCAGAACGUCGUGAGACAGUUCGGUCCCUAUCUGCCAUGGGCGUUGGAGAUUUGAGAGGGGCUGCUCCUAGUACGAGAGGACCGGAGUGGACGAACCUCUGGUGUUCCGGUUGUCACGCCAGUGGCAUUGCCGGGUAGCUAUGUUCGGAAGCGAUAACCGCUGAAAGCAUCUAAGCGGGAAGCGCGCCUCAAGAUGAGAUCUCCCGGGGCACAAGCCCCCUGAAGGAACCAUGUAGACUACGUGGUUGAUAGGUCAGGUGUGUAAGUACAGCAAUGUAUUGAGCUAACUGAUACUAAUGAUCCGUGCGGCUUGACCAUAUAACCUCA